CCUACGGGAGGCAGCAGUGGGGAAUAUUGGGCAAUGGAGGCAACUCUGACCCAGCAAUGCCGCGUGAGUGAUGAAGGUAAUAUUAUUGUAAAGCUCUUUUCUUUGGAACGAAUAAAUGACGGUACCAAAGGAAUAAGCCCCGGCUAACAACGUGCCCGCAGCCGCGGUAAUACGUAGGGGGCAAGCGUUGUGCGGAAUGACUGUGCGUAAAGGGGGUGAUGGGGGUUUGAUAAGUUAGAUGUGUAAUACCCAGGGAUUAACUCGGGUGCUGCAUCUGAAACUGUUAGUCUUGAGUACUGGAGAGGAUAGUGGAAUGCCUGGUGUAGCGGUGAAAUGCGUAGAUAUUAGGAGGAACAUCGGUUGCGAAGGCGACUAUCUGGACAGCAACUGACACUGAGGCACGAAAGCGUGGGGAGCAAACAGGAUUAGAUACCCUAGUAGUC
Molecule: ribosomal RNA, 443 nt
Filed under: uncultured bacterium
Lineage: Bacteria
Description: partial 16S ribosomal RNA
Rfam family: Bacterial small subunit ribosomal RNA
Source: RNAcentral